This 240-nucleotide ribosomal RNA is filed under the name uncultured bacterium. Its description in RNAcentral is "partial 16S ribosomal RNA". It matches the Rfam family "Bacterial small subunit ribosomal RNA", at positions 537 to 776 of the family's 1533-position model. The record is from RNAcentral.
AGCGUUGUUCGGAAUUACUGGGCGUAAAGGGCUCGUAGGCGGCCAACUAAGUCCGACGUGAAAUCCCCAGGCUUAACCUGGGAACUGCGUCGGAUACUGGAUGGCUUGAAUUCGGGAGAGGGAUGCAGAAUUCCAGGUGUAGCGGUGAAAUGCGUAGAUAUCUGGAGGAAUACCGGUGGCGAAGGCGGCAUCCUGGACCGACAUUGACGCUGAUGAGCGAAAGCUAGGGGAGCAAACGGG